GAUGAAGAACGUAGCGAAACGCGAUAUGUAAUGUGAAUUGCAGAAUUCAGUGAAUCAUCGAAUCUUUGAACGCACAUGGCGCCUUCCAGUAUCCUGGGAGGCAUGACUGUCUGAGCGUCAUUUCAACCCUCAUGCCCCUAGGGCGUGGUGUUGGGGAUCGGCCAAAGCCCGCGAGGGACGGCCGGCCCCUAAAUCUAGUGGCGGACCCGUCGUGGCCUCCUCUGCGAAGUAGUGAUAUUCCGCAUCGGAGAGCGAUGAGCCCCUGCCGUUAAACCCCCAACUUUCCAAGGUUGACCUCAGAUCAGGUAGGAAUACCCGCUGAACUUAAGCAUAUCAAUAAGCGGAGGA
RNAcentral lists this unclassified non-coding RNA (348 nucleotides) under soil metagenome. RNAcentral describes it as "partial contains 5.8S ribosomal RNA, internal transcribed spacer 2, and large subunit ribosomal RNA". The stretch from base 1 to 120 matches the Rfam family "5.8S ribosomal RNA", at positions 35 to 154 of the family's 154-position model. The record is from RNAcentral.